UUGUUUUCUCCAGACGAUUAUUUUUUCUCCGUUGCCCCAGCUGAGUUGGUUGAUUAAUCCCCUACGGAGUUUAGGAUGUAUUCCCCAGCUGAGUUUAUAUUUGGUCUCCAGCAGUGUAAGAGUGGUUCUUUGCAGCUGUUUGCAUGGUUCUGAUAGGACUUUGGUUUCCCCACCAGUCGCCAUCAGAUUUGCUCCUAGUCAGAAUUUCC
Molecule: long non-coding RNA, 209 nt
Filed under: Lathyrus oleraceus (garden pea)
Lineage: Eukaryota; Viridiplantae; Streptophyta; Magnoliopsida; Fabales; Fabaceae
Description: Pisum sativum (pea) long non-coding RNA (PSAT_LNC005650)
Source: RNAcentral